AUACGUAGGUGGCAAGCGUUGUCCGGAAUUAUUGGGCGUAAAGCGCGCGCAGGCGGUCCUUUAAGUCUGAUGUGAAAGCCCACGGCUCAACCGUGGAGGGUCAUUGGAAACUGGGGGACUUGAGUGCAGAAGAGGAAAGCGGAAUUCCACGUGUAGCGGUGAAAUGCGUAGAGAUGUGGAGGAACACCAGUGGCGAAGGCGGCUUUCUGGUCUGUAACUGACGCUGAGGCGCGAAAGCGUGGGGAGCAAACAGGAUUAGAUACCCUGGUAGUCCACGCCGUAAACGAUGAGUGCUAAGUGUUAGAGGGUUUCCGCCCUUUAGUGCUGCAGCUAACGCAUUAAGCACUCCGCCUGGGGAGUACGGUCGCAAGACUAAA
RNAcentral lists this ribosomal RNA (377 nucleotides) under uncultured bacterium. RNAcentral's name for it is "bacterial SSU rRNA". It matches the Rfam family "Bacterial small subunit ribosomal RNA", at positions 523 to 898 of the family's 1533-position model. The record is from RNAcentral.